CUGACAACUGCCUAAAAGGAAGAGGAAAAAAAAAAUAGAGAAGAGAGAAAUGGCCAUUGGCAUAAGAGUAGAGUCUAUUUUAUCAAAACUAAAUGAGCUUGUCAGUCAAGAGGCAGAUCUUUUAAGUGGAGUUGAAGAGCAAGUGGAAUUCAUGGAAAAGGAAUUGAGGAUGAUGUAUGCAGUGCUACAGGAUGUGGAAGCCUCAGAAGGACUGAGUGAUUACUUGCUGCAUUGGAAUGAGAUAGUAGAGACUGCUAAUCUCAAUGCAGAUAAUGCAAUUGAGAAAUUCAUCACGUCAAGAGGGAACAAGAGUGGAUUAUUUGUUUUCCAACACUUGAUAGAUAGACAUCAAGUUGGAAUGCAGUUGAAUCGCAUCAAGGCCAGUAUUCGUGAGAUGCCCCAUGGCAGCAUAUGGGAUAAGAUGGUAGAGAAUGUUAAUCUCAAAGCAGAUAAUACUGUUGACAGUUUUUUCGCAUCAGCAGGGAGGACCAGUAGCCUACUUCUGUUUUUCCAACACUUGAUAGAGAGGAAUCAAGCCAUAAUGCAGUUGAAUCUCAUCAUGGCUAGCUUUCGUGAUAACGACAUGGGAAGAAGCAUUAAGGCAAUGCACAGUGUAGAUCACAUCAGCUACUGUGGUGAGUUUUUGAUCCUUGAAAGCAUAAGAGUCACAUGCUGCAGAAUUUUACUCCCAAUUUUCCUUGGGGAAAGAUAUGAGCAAGCUUUGUGGAAGUCAG
Molecule: unclassified non-coding RNA, 734 nt
Filed under: Hevea brasiliensis (rubber tree)
Lineage: Eukaryota; Viridiplantae; Streptophyta; Magnoliopsida; Malpighiales; Euphorbiaceae
Source: RNAcentral